ACUAUUUUGGCAGAUUAGUGCAAUAAAUUUAGAAUUUAUUUAUGUAGAUUAUUCUACAAUUAGUA
Molecule: transfer RNA, 65 nt
Filed under: Rhodnius pictipes
Lineage: Eukaryota; Metazoa; Arthropoda; Insecta; Hemiptera; Reduviidae
Description: tRNA-Leu
Source: RNAcentral